This is a non-coding RNA of Pelobates cultripes (western spadefoot toad), 227 nucleotides long. The record is from the annotation of a GenBank genome assembly. Lineage: Eukaryota; Metazoa; Chordata; Amphibia; Anura; Pelobatidae.
AUUCAAUCAGAGAGUCAUCUAAACCCAAAUAAAGGACUAUUACGCACCUUCAGAGCUAUAGACGUUAUGAUAAAAGUCACACGGACUCUUUGCCUUCAGUCAAAUCACAAGGUAACUAGCAGAUAUUUUUCUGAUAUCAUCGUUCUCAUCAAUGGUGAAUUUCUGCUUUUAUUUCAAAAUAGCAAUACAUCACCCUUCCCGUCGAAGUGAUCUCAUCUGUAACUGAG